This 272-nucleotide ribosomal RNA is filed under the name uncultured bacterium. RNAcentral describes it as "partial 16S ribosomal RNA". It matches the Rfam family "Bacterial small subunit ribosomal RNA", at positions 81 to 354 of the family's 1533-position model. The record is from RNAcentral.
CUUACCGAUGGCGACCGGCGCACGGGUGAGUAACACGUAUCCAACCUGCCGAUAACUCGGGGAUAGCCUUUCGAAAGAAAGACUAAUAUCCGAUAGGAUAUCAAGAUCGCAUGAUCUUGAUAUUAAAGAAUUUCGGUUAUCGAUGGGGAUGCGUUCCAUUAGUUAGUUGGCGGGGUAACGGCCCACCAAGACGACGAUGGAUAGGGGUUCUGAGAGGAAGGUCCCCCACAUUGGAACUGAGACACGGUCCAAACUCCUACGGGAGGCAGCAG